GAUGAACGCUGGCGGCGUGCCUAAUACAUGCAGGUCGAGCGAACAGACGAGGAGCUUGCUCCUCUGACGUUAGCGGCGGACGGGUGAGUAACACGUGGAUAACCUACCUAUAAGACUGGGAUAACUUCGGGAAACCGGAGCUAAUACCGGAUAAUAUAUUGAACCGCAUGGUUCAAUAGUGAAAGACGGUUUUGCUGUCACUUAUAGAUGGAUCCGCGCCGCAUUAGCUAGUUGGUAAGGUAACGGCUUACCAAGGCAACGAUGCGUAGCCGACCUGAGAGGGUGAUCGGCCACACAGGAACUGAGACACGGUCCAGACUCCUACGGGAGGCAGCAGUAGGGAAUCUUCCGCAAUGGGCGAAAGCCUGACGGAGCAACGCCGCGUGAGUGAUGAAGGUCUUCGGAUCGUAAAACUCUGUUAUUAGGGAAGAACAAAUGUGUAAGUAACUAUGCACGUCUUGACGGUACCUAAUCAGAAAGCCACGGCUAACUACGUG
This 497-nucleotide ribosomal RNA is filed under the name uncultured bacterium. Its description in RNAcentral is "partial 16S ribosomal RNA". It matches the Rfam family "Bacterial small subunit ribosomal RNA", at positions 28 to 507 of the family's 1533-position model. The record is from RNAcentral.